UACGUAGGGUGCAAGCGUUGUCCGGAAUUAUUGGGCGUAAAGAGCUCGUAGGCGGUCUGUCGCGUCGAAUGUGAAAACACGAGGCUCAACUUCGUGCCUGCAUUCGAUACGGGCAGACUAGAGUUCGGUAGGGGAGUCUGGAAUUCCUGGUGUAGCGGUGAAAUGCGCAGAUAUCAGGAGGAACACCGGUGGCGAAGGCGGGACUCUGGGCCGAUACUGACGCUGAGGAGCGAAAGCGUGGGGAGCAAACAGG
Molecule: ribosomal RNA, 253 nt
Filed under: uncultured bacterium
Lineage: Bacteria
Description: partial 16S ribosomal RNA
Rfam family: Bacterial small subunit ribosomal RNA
Source: RNAcentral